UACGUAGGUGGCAAGCGUUGUCCGGAUUUAUUGGGUUUAAAGGGUGCGUAGGCGGCCCUGUAAGUCAGUGCUGAAAUAUCCCGGCUUAACCGGGAGGGUGGCAUUGAUACUGCGGGGCUAGAGUACAGAUGAGGUAGGCGGAAUUGACGGUGUAGCGGUGUAAUGCUUAGAUAUCGUCAAGAACACCUAUAGCGAAGGCAGCUUACUAGGCUGUAACUGACGCUGAGGCACGAAAGUGUGGGGAUCAAACAGG
This 253-nucleotide ribosomal RNA is filed under the name uncultured bacterium. RNAcentral describes it as "partial 16S ribosomal RNA". It matches the Rfam family "Bacterial small subunit ribosomal RNA", at positions 524 to 776 of the family's 1533-position model. The record is from RNAcentral.